Molecule: ribosomal RNA, 537 nt
Filed under: uncultured Lactobacillus sp.
Lineage: Bacteria; Bacillati; Bacillota; Bacilli; Lactobacillales; Lactobacillaceae
Description: bacterial SSU rRNA
Rfam family: Bacterial small subunit ribosomal RNA
Source: RNAcentral
GACGAACGCUGGCGGCGUGCCUAAUACAUGCAAGUCGAGCGAGCUUGCCUAGAUGAAUUUGGUGCUUGCACCAAAUGAAACUAGAUACAAGCGAGCGGCGGACGGGUGAGUAACACGUGGGUAACCUGCCCAAGAGACUGGGAUAACACCUGGAAACAGAUGCUAAUACCGGAUAACAACACUGGACGCAUGUCUAGAGUUUAAAAGAUGGUUCUGCUAUCACUCUUGGAUGGACCUGCGGUGCAUUAGCUAGUUGGUAAGGUAACGGCUUACCAAGGCAAUGAUGCAUAGCCGAGUUGAGAGACUGAUCGGCCACAUUGGGACUGAGACACGGCCCAAACUCCUACGGGAGGCAGCAGUAGGGAAUCUUCCACAAUGGACGCAAGUCUGAUGGAGCAACGCCGCGUGAGUGAAGAAGGGUUUCGGCUCGUAAAGCUCUGUUGGUAGUGAAGAAAGAUAGAGGUAGUAACUGGCCUUUAUUUGACGGUAAUUACUUAGAAAGUCACGGCUAACUACGUGCCAGCAGCCGCGGUAAUA